AGAAACCGGUUCGCUAGAAGACGAAACAACUCUUUCCCUAGUUGAGUUUUCUUGAUGAACUUUGUUUACGGCAGAGGACCACAGACUACCAAAAGCAUCACCAUUAGAUCCAGAAGAUUUGGCAGCAGUAGGUUGUUGUGAGGUUAAUCCGAGACCGGCUUGUGAAGAGGUAUUAGACAAUCCGGAUGACAUACCAAACGCAGAUGUAUAACCCGUAUUAAAGGUAGUAGGUUGAGGUGUAAAGGCACUGGAUGAUGUGGGAAGUUGAUUUAAACUAUUAAAGCCACCGAACGAAAUUGACGAAAAGGCAGCAGUAUUUGAAGCGGGUUUGGCGGAGGGAGCGCUUUGAAAAUCAUCAAAAGCAUCAUCGUCAUUUUUAGCAGCAGUUGAAGCAGUUUGAGAGCCCAUAAAGAGAGAGGCAUUGUUUAAGGUGGAAGAAGCUGGGGCAGCGGCAGAACUUUGGAAGUCACCGAAGCCAUCAUCUUCGAACGCCAAAGGAGCAGAAGUAUUUGUUUGUGGUUGGGCAGGAGAAGGCUCAUUGUCAAGACCCAAUAAAUCGAUCAUUGCAGAUUCCUGUUUUGGCUGCUCGGGAGCUUUGUCAGAUUGUUUGGUAGUAGUGCGACGUGAGCCACGCGUGGAGUUUGCGGUUGCAGCAUCGCUGGAACCACCAUCUCCAUCUUCAUUGUACUCCUCUACAUCGUUAUCGGAUGCAUCACGGGAAUCACUCAUAGAAGAUGAAUCAUGGUAUCCAUUACCAUAAUCGGUAAAGCCGCCACCGUCUCCGUAAACGCGAGUUCUAUAAGAACCACGGGAAGAGCCAAAGCUAGGAAACCUAGAUUUAGAGCUAGUGGAAAUCCUAGAAUCUCCAUCACUACCAACACCUAUAAAUUUACCACGAUUUUGACGCGCUCUCUUGCGUUCCUUACGGAUACGUUCGCUAUCGUUUAGUAAUUCCACCAGCUCUUUAGCUCGAGUUCGAACAUUAAGCCCUUGGUCCUUUUGACGAUGGUCGAUGUAGUGAAAAUUACGAAGCAUUUUAAUAGUUGCUUGAUGUGCUCGAGCAUCAUCUACCACUCUUUCAGACCCGUUCUUGACCAAAAACUCCAGAAGCUGAAGUGCUUUGUAAAUUUGACGCCAUUCUUCUGCAGUUUUUUCGGUAAACCGACGGUAGAUCAUUGGUAAAAUUUCGUUUAACUGAGAGUAGUUGUGAGUUCCUUGGGCAAUUUCCAUCAUCAAAGAAGUACUAGCGCCCCAGGGUUCAUUAUUCGUUGCUUCACGAACUCUGGCUUCCAUAGAUGUAUAAUUCAUUACAACAUUUUGUGCUUUACGAACCGCCGCCUUGAUAUCGUAAAGGUUGAUGUUCUUCAUCGUCGAUUGAAUGGACUCCAUCUUAGAUAAUGUUUUACUUUCUUGGAUUUCUAGUUCCUAAAGGAAUUUAUAUCCAAUUGUUUAAAUGAAACUUUUUUAAAGAAGUUUUCGCUUCUCAAAGAACGCGUAGGCAACGAGUAUGGAAGUAUUGUUGUCGGUGGAUGGGGAAAUCAGAUUUCUCAGUCUAGCCGCGGCUCCUUUUUACUUUAUCAAGAAACUGCAUCAUAUAUCUUUAUUCUGCUUUACUGAGAGAAUUUUUUUUUAUU
Molecule: long non-coding RNA, 1634 nt
Filed under: Schizosaccharomyces pombe (fission yeast)
Lineage: Eukaryota; Fungi; Ascomycota; Schizosaccharomycetes; Schizosaccharomycetales; Schizosaccharomycetaceae
Source: RNAcentral